UAUUUCUGUAACAAAAAGAAAUUAAGUUAAUAUAGAAGUAGUAUAUUAAAAGUUUGUGUCGUCACGAUGUGACAUGACCGAUAAAGAAGGAGAAGAGGCAGAAGAAGGAAAUCAUGGAAGUGAGUGAAGGUGAGAGAGACUGAUGCCUGACUCCUAACCAUUUCAAACUUUGGCACUGAAAUCCAUGGCGUUUAUCUUUUUUCUUUUAGAUUUUUGUUUUUUCGUGUAAAUGAAACGACACCCACUUCUUCUAUUCUGAUAACGACUUUUCUUCUCUUCGUAUUUACAUAUACCAUUUCU
Molecule: small RNA, 300 nt
Filed under: Arabidopsis thaliana (thale cress)
Lineage: Eukaryota; Viridiplantae; Streptophyta; Magnoliopsida; Brassicales; Brassicaceae
Description: putative long intergenic non-coding RNA
Source: RNAcentral